GGGUUGUGAGGUUAAGCGACUAAGCGUACACGGUGGAUGCCCUGGCAGUCAGAGGCGAUGAAGGACGUGCUAAUCUGCGAUAAGCGUCGGUAAGGUGAUAUGAACCGUUAUAACCGGCGAUUUCCGAAUGGGGAAACCCAGUGUGUUUCGACACACUAUCAUUAACUGAAUCCAUAGGUUAAUGAGGCGAACCGGGGGAACUGAAACAUCUAAGUACCCCGAGGAAAAGAAAUCAACCGAGAUUCCCCCAGUAGCGGCGAGCGAACGGGGAGCAGCCCAGAGCCUGAAUCAGUGUGUGUGUUAGUGGAAGCGUCUGGAAAGGCGUGCGAUACAGGGUGACAGCCCCGUACACAAAAAUGCACAUAUUGUGAGCUCGAUGAGUAGGGCGGGACACGUGGUAUCCUGUCUGAAUAUGGGGGGACCAUCCUCCAAGGCUAAAUACUCCUGACUGACCGAUAGUGAACCAGUACCGUGAGGGAAAGGCGAAAAGAACCCCGGCGAGGGGAGUGAAAAAGAACCUGAAACCGUGUACGUACAAGCAGUGGGAGCACGCUUAGGCGUGUGACUGCGUACCUUUUGUAUAAUGGGUCAGCGACUUAUAUUCUGUAGCAAGGUUAACCGAAUAGGGGAGCCGAAGGGAAACCGAGUCUUAACUGGGCGUUAAGUUGCAGGGUAUAGACCCGAAACCCGGUGAUCUAGCCAUGGGCAGGUUGAAGGUUGGGUAACACUAACUGGAGGACCGAACCGACUAAUGUUGAAAAAUUAGCGGAUGACUUGUGGCUGGGGGUGAAAGGCCAAUCAAACCGGGAGAUAGCUGGUUCUCCCCGAAAGCUAUUUAGGUAGCGCCUCGUGAAUUCAUCUCCGGGGGUAGAGCACUGUUUCGGCAAGGGGGUCAUCCCGACUUACCAACCCGAUGCAAACUGCGAAUACCGGAGAAUGUUAUCACGGGAGACACACGGCGGGUGCUAACGUCCGUCGUGAAGAGGGAAACAACCCAGACCGCCAGCUAAGGUCCCAAAGUCAUGGUUAAGUGGGAAACGAUGUGGGAAGGCCCAGACAGCCAGGAUGUUGGCUUAGAAGCAGCCAUCAUUUAAAGAAAGCGUAAUAGCUCACUGGUCGAGUCGGCCUGCGCGGAAGAUGUAACGGGGCUAAACCAUGCACCGAAGCUGCGGCAGCGACGCUUAUGCGUUGUUGGGUAGGGGAGCGUUCUGUAAGCCUGUGAAGGUGUGCUGUGAGGCAUGCUGGAGGUAUCAGAAGUGCGAAUGCUGACAUAAGUAACGAUAAAGCGGGUGAAAAGCCCGCUCGCCGGAAGACCAAGGGUUCCUGUCCAACGUUAAUCGGGGCAGGGUGAGUCGACCCCUAAGGCGAGGCCGAAAGGCGUAGUCGAUGGGAAACAGGUUAAUAUUCCUGUACUUGGUGUUACUGCGAAGGGGGGACGGAGAAGGCUAUGUUGGCCGGGCGACGGUUGUCCCGGUUUAAGCGUGUAGGCUGGUUUUCCAGGCAAAUCCGGAAAAUCAAGGCUGAGGCGUGAUGACGAGGCACUACGGUGCUGAAGCAACAAAUGCCCUGCUUCCAGGAAAAGCCUCUAAGCAUCAGGUAACAUCAAAUCGUACCCCAAACCGACACAGGUGGUCAGGUAGAGAAUACCAAGGCGCUUGAGAGAACUCGGGUGAAGGAACUAGGCAAAAUGGUGCCGUAACUUCGGGAGAAGGCACGCUGAUAUGUAGGUGAAGUCCCUUGCGGAUGGAGCUGAAAUCAGUCGAAGAUACCAGCUGGCUGCAACUGUUUAUUAAAAACACAGCACUGUGCAAACACGAAAGUGGACGUAUACGGUGUGACGCCUGCCCGGUGCCGGAAGGUUAAUUGAUGGGGUCAGCGCAAGCGAAGCUCUUGAUCGAAGCCCCGGUAAACGGCGGCCGUAACUAUAACGGUCCUAAGGUAGCGAAAUUCCUUGUCGGGUAAGUUCCGACCUGCACGAAUGGCGUAAUGAUGGCCAGGCUGUCUCCACCCGAGACUCAGUGAAAUUGAACUCGCUGUGAAGAUGCAGUGUACCCGCGGCAAGACGGAAAGACCCCGUGAACCUUUACUAUAGCUUGACACUGAACAUUGAGCCUUGAUGUGUAGGAUAGGUGGGAGGCUUUGAAGUGUGGACGCCAGUCUGCAUGGAGCCGACCUUGAAAUACCACCCUUUAAUGUUUGAUGUUCUAACGUGGACCCGUGAUCCGGGUUGCGGACAGUGUCUGGUGGGUAGUUUGACUGGGGCGGUCUCCUCCUAAAGAGUAACGGAGGAGCACGAAGGUUGGCUAAUCCUGGUCGGACAUCAGGAGGUUAGUGCAAUGGCAUAAGCCAGCUUGACUGCGAGCGUGACGGCGCGAGCAGGUGCGAAAGCAGGUCAUAGUGAUCCGGUGGUUCUGAAUGGAAGGGCCAUCGCUCAACGGAUAAAAGGUACUCCGGGGAUAACAGGCUGAUACCGCCCAAGAGUUCAUAUCGACGGCGGUGUUUGGCACCUCGAUGUCGGCUCAUCACAUCCUGGGGCUGAAGUAGGUCCCAAGGGUAUGGCUGUUCGCCAUUUAAAGUGGUACGCGAGCUGGGUUUAGAACGUCGUGAGACAGUUCGGUCCCUAUCUGCCGUGGGCGCUGGAGAACUGAGGGGGGCUGCUCCUAGUACGAGAGGACCGGAGUGGACGCAUCACUGGUGUUCGGGUUGUCAUGCCAAUGGCACUGCCCGGUAGCUAAAUGCGGAAGAGAUAAGUGCUGAAAGCAUCUAAGCACGAAACUUGCCCCGAGAUGAGUUCUCCCUGACCCUUUAAGGGUCCUGAAGGAACGUUGAAGACGACGACGUUGAUAGGCCGGGUGUGUAAGCGCAGCGAUGCGUUGAGCUAACCGGUACUAAUGAACCGUGAGGCUUAACCUUACAACGCCGAAGCUGUU
RNAcentral lists this ribosomal RNA (2930 nucleotides) under Escherichia coli. RNAcentral describes it as "23S ribosomal RNA". It matches the Rfam family "Bacterial large subunit ribosomal RNA". The record is from RNAcentral. Lineage: Bacteria; Pseudomonadati; Pseudomonadota; Gammaproteobacteria; Enterobacterales; Enterobacteriaceae.